UCUCUUCAAUACUUGGAAUUGAGGUGCUGUAUGGAAUUAGAAUGUUUACCUGAAGGAAUGCAGUAUCUGAAGUCACUUCGGACACUUGUCCUGAAGCACUGUGAUAGUCUUGUCUCAUUGCCACGGAGCCUGAAAUUCCUAAGCAAGUUAGAACACCUUGAAAUAGUUGGUUGCCUUCGAAUCAAUUUGAAAAUGGAACUAGAAGAGGAAGAAAAAGACCUUCAGUUGAGCCUUAAAACUCUCUCUCUCACUCUUCGUAUUACCUGCCUUAAGAGAUUUGCCACGAUUGCUUCUUCAAGGAUCUUCUUCCACUUUGCAGCAAUUACGAAUUCAGUUUUGUCAAAACUUGUCCGUUCUACCAGCAUGGCUACCGAAUCUCACUUCUCUUCAAAAACUUGAGAUUUUUAAUUGCUUUAAUUUGUGGGAUCUACCGGAGGGAAUAGACCGCCUCACCAACCUUAGAGAAUUGAGAAUUUACGGAUGUCCGGAGUUGAGCAAAAGAUACAGAGAAAAUGGGGGUGAAGAUUGGCACAAAAUUGCUCACAUCCAAAAGGUUGUUAUUUGCUAAUGAAGAAUGAGGUAUGUGGUAAAAUUUUAAUUUCUCUAUCAGAUUCGAUUCCAUAUUAUCUUUCAGUUGUAAUUCUAAGAAGUGAGCUGUUGCUUUGGAUAUGUAUCAACUUUUAGCUUUAUGCAUAUUUACCUUUUCUCUUUAUGGUUUAGCAUCAACUAAUUGUGUUUGUAUUUUUUAGUUUAAUUUUAUUAAUUGUUUAUUUUGUGAUGGAGAAAUGAUGCGGUUGUUAUAAAAUUGCGUAGUAGAGUUGAGAAAUGACAAGAAAGAAAAUAAAACAUUUGAAAAAAAUGUACACAUCUCUCUCUUAUUCUCUCUCCAUUCACCAUUCCAAUUUGAAAGAAAUAAUUUUUCAAAAAAAAGUACCGAGGAUCUACACACUAUGAAAGUAUCCACAUUCGCAUUGGUUUUUUCUGAAGAUUGAACACAAUUUAGUUAGUUCAGUUGGAACAAAUUGCCGUUAUUUUUGAGUUUGUCUUAAUAUAUAUAAAAGUAAGAAUUUAAUUUUUUUUUGAAUCACGAUAACAUCCUUUAAUGUUCAUUUAAUUACUAAAUAAACAUUAAAUAAAUAAUUCAUUUUUCUAAAAAAAUAAUAGAAUUUUUCUUCAUUUGAACUAUAUGGUUAAAAAUAUUAGAUAAAAUCAUAUCAAUAAUUCUUUUUUAUAAUAGAGUUCUUAUUGAUUUGAGUUACACAGUUGAGUGUAUUAAUUAUUAAUAAUAUAUAUUAUUUUAAAUCAAUUAUCAUUUAAUUAGUGUUACCUUUAGCAUGGAAUAAAUGGUUAGUUAGCUAAUCAGCAUUUGAAUCAUUGUUCACUAAAAGCAGUACGAAAGAACUGAACUUUACCGCAGCUGGCUUGUAGAUGCCAACAAUAGCUCCCAAGGUAACCUGUUCAUUAAAUUAUAGUUAUAAUGUAAAAUUCAAUACAAAAUGCAGAGAGUUUUAUCGAAUAAACUAAGAAAAUCAACACACACCCACACUGGGAAAAGAGUUGUCGAAGUUUCAAUUAUUCUCUCGUACUGGUUCAUCCCUUUCGGUGUCGGACUAUCUCCGGAAACAUUAGCAGCAGCCUUGCACUUAACUUUGGAGUUCCUGGAUAUAAAGAUCAUAUUAGCAAGCAAAUCCAUGAAUUGGAGCUAAAAUGACAUGAACUACCAACUUCAUAUGUUGCUCAGAAUCUUCAUUUCCCCUAAAUCACCCCUACACUCAAAUCGGACAUGUAUUGGAUAUAAGUAUGGGAGUAUGAUACCACAAAUAUAUGGGAAAAAUUAGAAAAAAAGUGAGCAUAUUUGGGCAUAUACUCAUACGUGAAACUCACCUUCCAGUCCACGUAGGUGAAGGGGCAAUAGUAAGAAAAAAAGGAAAAAAGGUAAAUGGGAAGUUUUAAACAAACAUGGGAGACAGGUUAACAAAAAUCAAGCUAGCGACCUCACAAGGUUCCUGAAGGCAAACUACUUCACUAACCAACAAUUUGUUCUUUUUAACAGUCAACUCUAUGAUUGUUGAAUCAGCCAGAUUUACUUCCUUGGGAUGAUCAAAGCAAUGAAUUUAACAGUGAAAAAUGCAGUCUCGAGAUUUUAUAAGAAAGAAAUCGCAUUUAAUCAAACACCUUGUGCUCAAAAAACUACCUUGAAUCUAGAAUAAUGGAGGAAGGGGCUAAAAGAGCAGCAAGGGGACUAUUUGGCUUGCUUUGCAUUGACCAACCAUUUCCAUACAAAGAAAUCCCAGCUCUAACAUCUGAAAACUUCACAUUCAAAGAAAAUAAGAAAAAAAUCACAAACAAAUCCAUUGGAUAAACAAUAAAAAAUGAAGUCAAAUCAACAAAGACAAAGCAAAGUUACCUAGCUAAGCUGACAGUACCCUUCUUCCAGGAAUCAAGACCAUGGUCUUCUACGUAUUACAGCUUCAUAUACAUGCAGAUUGGUAUCUGUGACGACAAAUCUAGACAAAGCUGCCAUCGUUAAAAGACAAAAUAAGGAGGUAUAAUCUAAACAAGACACGAUUUUCAAGGGGUUAUAUUUGAUUUCAAGCGUUGAAUUAUGAAGGUUUUUUUAAAAUUAAACCGAGGUAUACAAGAAAAUGGGAUCAAUCCCAACGGUAUCGGUUAAGUCAUCAUCUUGUUGCUGCUGUCUUCUGGUUUUCCCUGUUGACAAUUUCAGUGAUAUUUUUGUCGUUAGGUGAACUUGUGAGACCGACGAUUAAACCGGAAAUAUGUUCUGCUGUUUCUGAUAUGGUGAAAUACUGUUAUUAGUCCUUUUAAUAAGCAUAACUUGUGGAUUUAGUCCAAAUACUUUAAUUUGGUCAGUUUUAGUCCCACAGUUUUCCAAUUGAUCAAUUUUACUUUAGUCUAUUUAGUUAAAUUAUGUUAUUAGUCUUGCACUAUGCGUAAGGUCGUAGAUUUAGUCUACUUCUCUAAUUUGAUCAUUCUUAGUACCUAAAAUUUUUGAAUUUUAAAGUUUCAAUUUUGACGCAAAUAACAACUAUUAAAGUCCUUAAUAAACUUUUUUGUGAAUAAUAUGUGGAAAUGCGAUAAUAUGUUUAACACAUAAGGUUUUAGAAAUAGCAAAACUUAAUGAAUUUAACAUCUAUUGUUUGAUCAGGACUAAAAUAUUAAAAUUCAAAAGUACAAUGACUAAAAAUGACCAAAUUAAAGUAUAAGGAUAAAAUUCAUGACUUAUAUAUAGUAUAGGGACUAAUAACAAAAANNNNNNNNNNNNNNNNNNNNNNNNNNNNNNNNNNNNNNNNNNNNNNNNNNNNNNNNNNNNNNNNNNNNNNNNNNNNNNNNNNNNNNNNNNNNNNNNNNNNNNNNNNNNNNNNNNNNNNNNNNNNNNNNNNNNNNNNNNNNNNNNNNNNNNNNNNNNNNNNNNNNNNNNNNNNNNNNNNNNNNNNNNNNNNNNNNNNNNNNNNNNNNNNNNNNNNNNNNNNNNNNNNNNNNNNNNNNNNNNNNNNNNNNNNNNNNNNNNNNNNNNNNNNNNNNNNNNNNNNNNNNNNNNNNNNNNNNNNNNNNNNNNNNNNNNNNNNNNNNNNNNNNNNNNNNNNNNNNNNNNNNNNNNNNNNNNNNNNNNNNNNNNNNNNNNNNNNNNNNNNNNNNNNNNNNNNNNNNNNNNNNNNNNNNNNNNNNNNNNNNNNNNNNNNNNNNNNNNNNNNNNNNNNNNNNNNNNNNNNNNNNNNNNNNNNNNNNNNNNNNNNNNNNNNNNNNNNNNNNNNNNNNNNNNNNNNNNNNNNNNNNNNNNNNNNNNNNNNNNNNNNNNNNNNNNNNNNNNAUUGAUCCAUUUAGUAGUAAAAAAACUAAUUUGAUCAUGUAUCAAUGAUAGAGGGGCCUCUUAAGUACAUUCACCGGCUAAAUAGUACCAUGUAAUAAUAGUCUUGUGUAAUUUUUAAUAGAUUUGUCUAAGGGUUGGAUUACUCAUCUAAAUUUAAAGUCUUGUUCGAUAUUUAGGAGUAGGGAUGUUCAAAUUUCGGUUAAAAUCAAAUUAACCUUCCGAACCGAUCUAAUUUGAUUAAUCUGUCAAUUAGUCGAUCUAAUUUGAUCGGAGGUCAAUUAAUAAUUUUUUGGAAGUUUGGUUAUCGGUUAAUUCAGUACGAAAUUAGGUAAUUAACCGAACUUAAUAAUUAAUAAUACAAAUUAUAUGUAGCUUUAAUUCAGUUAAAUAAACAUUAUCAAUUUGUUGUUUUUUUAUAUGUUUUAUACUUGUUUUAACCAAAAAUAAAAAAAAUAUAUAAGUUUUGGUUAAUUUGAUUAAUCGACCGAAUUAAUUGAAAGAUUUCAGUUCGGUUAACAAUUAAAUGAUUAAAAAGUUCGAUUAAUUCGAUUAAUACUAAUUCAGUUCGGUUAACCGUUUGAACACCCCUAUUUAGGAGAUUUUGAACAAAAAAUUUAAGUUCAAAAAAAUGAGCUUCACAAAAGAAUAAUAAAAUUAAAAUAUGAGUUGAGUUUGGACUCUAACAUUUAAGGCUCUAGUUUGACUUAGUCCAAUCUAUUUUUAGAUAUUGUCAUAUAUUUUGUAAUUUAUAAUAUAUAAUUUUAAGUUGUUUCUAUUUAAAAUUUUAAUAAAAUAAAAAAAAUUCUUAAAUAUUUAACAAAAAAAUAAACUUUAUAAAAAUUAAAAAUAACUUGGGUGGGUCUAGGCGAAGCCACAAAAUAUUGUUGGAAGGUCGAAAUUAAUUUGUAUAUUUUUAUGAUAAUAAAAUACAAUUUUACCAUUUAAUAGUCCAUAUCUUUAUAAUAUUUAAACAAUUAAAUUAAAUAUUUAUAUUUUUAAAUCACUAAUGUAAAAAUUUACUAUUGAUGCGGCCUUAGGACCUGAUGAGCAGAGCUGGUGUGGCGAAUCCCAAGGUCCGCCGAGCUUCGACUAGUGAGGAAUCAACGUAGCAACAACGCCAACCAACACCCUUGUGAGCAAGGGAGAGGAGAAGCACUUCAAGCCAAAAAGAAACAACAAAAGAGACCCAAGAGGCGGUUGAAUAACCAAAGCAUGGGAUGGGCAAACAAAUGUUGGUGAAUUAAUUAGACACUAAAUUAAGAAAUUAUUAAAAGUUUUUUUUUUAAUUACAAAGGGCAUUUUUAUCUCUUUACUUUUUUAUAUAUAAAAUCUAUAAAAAAUAACUUAAAAUAAAUUUAUAAAAAAAUACUUAAAAUUAAGACACCAUGGCAUUUAAAGUUAUACCAUUUCAACAAAAAUUAAAAUGAGGUUUUCUCAUCAAACAACAAUUCAAUAGAGUUAAACCGAAAUACAUAUUAAAAAAUAAACCUUCCUAAUUUCUCUUUAAUUAAUCGAAGUGUAAGGGAAAUGAAUUAACUCAUAAGAACUGAUAGUUAAGCUUAAGCAAUACAGCUUCACAAAGACCUAUAAAUAUUAAGAUGAAUAAAUUGGUGAAAUAUAAGUCCAUUCUCCAUUAUUUUCUUUUGAUAUCUUCACCAACUUAAAACAUUGAAAAAUAUUUCAAAGAAUGAGUGUGAUAUUUGGUAAUAAUUUUAUAGGGUUGCAACCCACCAACAUUGUAACCUACUACAAGUAAAUCCCAAUAACUUUUUAUAAAUAUACAUUCACCUUAAUUUUUCUCACAGUUUAAGAGUAAAUAAAUGAAAAAUAAACCAAGUGGCGACGAAUGAAACAGACCAUGGCAGUAACGAAGAGCGGCUGUCAAAUGCUAGUUAUUACUGAUUGACGAGGUCUUGAAUCGCCUGUUAAUCACAAUUAUUAUAAAUCAAGUGAUAAAUCGGGUCUUAUAAUUAAAAAUAUAAUAAGAACGAAAAUGAUAAUUAUAAAAUAUAAAAUCAAAACGUGUACAUUGUUGUACUUUAUAAUUAUAAAAUGAUAACAAGGAAUACUUAUAUUUGAAUGUAUGACAUAUGCCAUCUAUUUUUUUCAUCUAUAAAAUGGAUGGGAUUUAUUAACUUAACCCAAUUUUAUAUUUUUAAAAAUUAAUACUUAUCAUAUAAGUAGUAAUAUUUUUGGAGGCCACUGAAUACAAUGCAGCUGUCUUUAAAGUUAAAACAGUUCCCUUCCACAUUACGUUCCUCUUUCUUUUAUGGGUUCUCACCGGAAAAUCGUUUCCGGUUCCGACUAGCCACCGAAGGAAACAACGGCAACUUAAAAGAAAACCAUUUCUUUCCUCAUUGUUUUACUACUAAAAUCCCAUCAUGCCGGUCGUGAAUUUUGUCUGUGUUUUUUUAGUUUCAGUUGUGAUGUUUAAUUCGAGAGUAAGCUCAGAACCGGUUGAAGACAAGCAAGCUCUACUUGCUUUCAUUUCGGGAAUUAGACAUGCCGACCGGGUUAAAUGGAAUUCAUCGACCUCAGCCUGUGAUUGGUUCGGUGUUCAAUGCGAUGCCAACCGGUCUUUCGUCUACACUUUACGGCUCCCCGGUGCGGCCCUCAUCGGUUCGAUUCUGCCCAAUACAAUCGGUCGGUUGAACCGACUUCGAGUUUUAAGUCUACGAGCAAACCGUUUGUCCGGUGAGAUCCCUGCCGAUUUCUCCAAUUUGACUCAGCUCCGUAGCCUUUAUUUGCAAGGUAACGAGUUCACCGGUCCGUUCCCACCUAGUGUGACUCGUUUAACUCGUUUGACUCGCCUUGAUCUUUCUUCUAAUAAUUUCACCGGUCCAAUUCCUUUGGGUGUCAACAGUUUGACUCAGUUGACCGGACUCUUCUUGCAAAAUAACAAGUUUUCCGGUUCUCUCCCGAGCAUCGACUCGGACGGUUUAAACGAUUUCAAUGUGUCUAACAACAACCUUAAUGGUUCAAUUCCCGAUUCGUUAUCUAAAUUCCCCGAAUCUUCAUUCGCCGGAAACAUUGGGCUUUGCGGCGGUCCACUCCCGCCAUGUAACCCAUUUCCUCCAUCUCCAUCUCCGACCGAGCCCAUUCCGCCCACAACUUCCGGUCAAAGCUCGAAAAGCCUUCCCACCGGCGCCAUCAUUGCCAUUGCCUUGGGGUCAGCAAUUGUUGCGUUACUGUUAUUACUAUUCCUCAUUAUCUGCCUCCGUAAAUGGAAACGGAAGUCACCAAGGCGGCAGAAGGCGAUACCAUCGACGACACAUGCAAGUCCGGAGGAGGAGGCGGGGACUUCCUCGUCGAAAGAUGAUAUAACCGGAGGCUCAAUGGAAAUCGAAAGGAUGAUGAAUAAUAAGCUCGUGUUCUUCAAAGGUGGCGUUUACAGUUUCGAUUUGGAGGAUUUGAUGAGGGCGUCGGCUGAAAUGUUGGGAAAAGGCAGCACCGGAACGUCGUACAAGGUGGUUUUAGCGGUGGGGACCACGGUGGCAGUUAAACGGUUGAAAGACGUGGCAGUUAGUAAACGAGAGUUCGUAAUGAAGAUGGGAAUGUUGGGUAAAAUCAUGCAUGAAAACGUGGUUCCUUUGAGAGCGUUUUAUUAUUCCGACGAGGAGAAAUUGCUGGUUUAUGAUUACAUGCAUGGUGGUAGCUUGUUUGCGCUGCUUCAAGGUAAAUUAUUUCAUUAUUUUGCUCCUUGCGGCUCAUAUUUGAAAAGAAAAAAAAAUAGGUAUUUUUUGAGCUUAUUAUUAUUUUUAAAAUUAAAAAAUGUAUUUUUUAAUAAUUUAAUAAUAAAAUAAUUACUUUAUAUUAAUUAAAUAUUCUAGUAUCUGUGUCAUAUAUAUAUUAUCAUACUUCAUAUUCUCUUAAUUAUAAGUUCAAGUGAGUAAAUUUUUAAUUAUAAUGUAAUAACUUUAUAGGUAGCAGAAACUCGGUUCGUACACCGUUAGAAUGGGACCACCGGAUAAAAAUAGCCCUAAGCGUGGCUAGAGGCCUCGCGCACCUCCACAGUUCACAAAACAUGAUCCACGGCAACAUUAAAUCUUCCAACAUCCUUCUCCGACCAGACCACGAAGCCUGCAUCUCAGAGUUUGGUCUUAACUCUCUUUUCAACACCAACACUCCACCUAGUCGCAUCGGGGGUUACCAAGCACCUGAAGUAAUUCAAACCCAUAAAGUUACGGUGAAAUCAGACGUUUAUAGUUUCGGGGUGUUAUUAUUGGAAUUAUUAACCGGUAGGGCACCAAUCCAACCAUCAAUAACUGAAGAAGGGUUUGAUCUUCCGCGUUGGGUCCAAUCCGUGGUUCGGGAGGAAUGGGCCGCCGAGGUGUUUGACGCAGAGUUAAUGGCAUACCACAACAUCGAGGAAGAAAUGGUGCAAGCGUUACAGAUUGCAAUGGUUUGUGUCUCAACAGUGCCCGAUCAAAGACCCGUCAUGUCGGAAGUGGCACGUAUGAUCGGAGAUAUGAUCGAUAGAGGGGGAACAAAUGGCGGUACGGCAGCCGCCAUAUGAUCCGCUAAACAAUGAAACAAAAUUCAAAGUGUGUUGACCUUGAGAAGCCAACAAUGGAGUUGAAAGUUUCAAUUAAAAAAAAAAAUCAAUUCCAUUUGCAGGCCAUCUAUAAAACGUUAAAUGCUUGUAUUUGAUUUAUUUUAAUUAAUUAAUUAAUUUUUUUUAAUUGAGAGUUGGAAAGGUCGGCUAAUGUACAAAGUGGAACCCCGGUCGUGCACUGGUUGAUGGGUGAUUACUGAUUAGUUCAUGAUUUUAUUAUUUUAACACUUAAUUAAUCUAAUUAGAAUCUGUUUCAAGGAUGGAAUCAACACCGUUCAAGACCAGAUCAGAGGCCUGGAGAUGUUACGCGUGGCGAAAUGGUGAGCUGGCUAGGCCGGCUUUUUGUCUUUUUCUUUUAUUUAAUUUCUAGAAAAAAAGAAAUGUGAAACAAAAUAGGGUGGAGGGGAAAUUUGAAAAAAUAAAAUAAAAAUCUAUUUUUUGUGGUGUUCAGGUUACUUUUUAUUUAAUUUAGAUGGAUUUCAGUUUUUUUUUAUUUAAAAGAUGAAUACUAUAAUUAAUUGAAUAAAGUCGAAUACAUUCGAGUAUCAAUUUAUAUAAAUUAUAAGUGAUUUUUUUUUCAAAUUUUAUUUUAAUUUGAGUUUCAUCAUAUUAUAUUUAUUCUUAUUUAAGUAUAUUCUAAUUUAAGUUUAGUUGUAUUUUGUAAUGGUUUAUCGUGAUUAUAGCUAUCCAGGUGUGUAUUGUUUAUAAUUAUAAUUUUAUUUGUAUUUAUAAAUUUUUUAAAAAUGUGUUUAAUUGCAAUUGCAAUUUCAAAUAUAUAUAUAAAUUAAUAUGUAUAUCUAAAAUAGUGAAAAAAAUCUUAAAUUUUUUCUUUCUUUUUACGCAAUUUGCUUCUUCUUUUUUGUUUUGUUUAGCAACAGUAUCAACAUUUUAGCUAGCUAUCGCUCGCCAUUUUUUUCCUCCCACCAACCCUCUCCGUCAUUUUUCUCCUCAUUCACUUUAUGUCGUGGCAGAGCCAAAAGGGGUUGGUAGGGACCCCGACCGCCUUAAAAUAGAAAAUUUUCUAUUUAGGCCCUUUAUAAUUUAUAAAAUUUUAAAUUAGUAAUAGUAAAAUUAUAAUUUAGCCCCCCAAAAAUAAUAAAAAUUUGAUUUAAUUCGUUAAAAAUUAUAAAAAUAAAUUAUUAAAAUGAUGAAAUUAUAUUUUUAUUAUCGUAAAAAUAUACAAUUUAAUUCUCACCCCCCAAAAAAUUCAUUUUGGCUCCGCCACUAACUCCAUGUAUCUUCUCUCUUUUUAGUUUGCAAAUAUAUUUUGUGGGUACCUUUAUUAUUUUCACAAGUUGUGAUGGACAAAUGAUGAUGCUUGUCGUUAUUGAAACUCCACCAGCCAUCAGCUGUUUCUCUUGAAAAGUAGGUAGCUCUUCCUUGGUUUCCUAAUCUUUUUCUAUUUUGAGAGGAUUUUAGAAUAAUAAAUGAUUUCAUGAGUUAAUUUGGACUCUUGUUGUCUUAAGUUUUAUAUAUUUUUUAUUUUUAUUAUUUUCCCUUGUUUAAUAAGUCUUCGCUUUUAAAAAUUGUUAUCAUCGUUAACAAAGUUUUGGCUUCAAGCAAAAUGUUAGAGCUAAUACGGAUAUAAACCACAAAAACACAUUAUGAACUCAAUAAAAAUUCAUAUAAUAUGAAUAUAAAAAUAUUUUAAACACAAUUAUAAGAUAAUAAAAUAUACUUAAUUGCUAAAUCUACGAAAUAGAAACAUAAAUAUAUUUUGAGCUUUUACAAGGAUUUAACUUUUGUGUGAUUCAUGAAAAAAAAACCUUAUAACCGAAACCUCAAUCCAAUUAAUUUAUGCAUUUAUCUAUAAUGAAUAUAUUUUAAUCUCAUUUCGAAUUUUAAUAUUAUUUUUAUAAUAUUUUUAUCCAAAUUAAAACUUUUUUUAAAAUAAAUAGUUGUCUAAAAUAGCCAAAUAGGCAUAUUGGGCAUUGGAUUCUGCAUAUACAACUGGGUAAUUUAUUCCCAUUACAACUCACCUAAUCUUUGUGUUUUUCACCCCACAAACACACUUCACCUAAACUCUUUUAAGGUGCCAUAUAACUUAGGCUUUGGCAUAUAUAUAUACAUUAUUUUAUAAAUAUGUUUAGUUUGAAGUAAAUAAUAAUUUUUUUAUGUAAAAAAAUUCAUCCGUUAAAUAUAUAUUAAUAUAAACAUUAUUUUAGAUUAUUAUGAUAGAGACAUCGGAUUAAUUCAAUAUUUUAUAUGUAUGACGAGUAUAAUUAUAACAUGAAAUUCAACAAUUAGAUUCUUAAAUGAUCAAUCAUAAAAAAAAAGUUAUUUAAGGGUGUAACCAUGUUAAUUUUAUAUUAAUGUAAUUGCAGCCAUGUAUACACUCAAUAAUAAUUUUCCAUGUUGUUGGUUAUUGUGUUAAUUUUGUUAGUACAAUGUUUAAAAUACUUAUAAUUUUAUCUCAAACCUUUAAAAAUGAAAAAUAUCACGUGUUUAAACACAUUUGAGCUGAAGAACGUGACUAGAGGGAGCAAGUAGAUCAGUUUCAAUCCCUUAUCGAUAAUGAGUUACUGAUUUCGUCCCUAUCUGAACCCUCGUCCUUCAAAUUGUUACAAUAUCAAUAGUAACCCGAAUAAACAUUACAAAAAUCAUAUAUUUAAAAUAUAUUAGAAUAAUUAUGUUACCAUAAAUACACAUUGAAUGUGACCAUAUGAGUCAUUGAAAAUCUCACCAAUCUCAUAUUUGAUGUAAUUUAUGAUAAUUCAUUUAAAUCAAAUAAAAUGAGUGGAGGGAUUGAUUGAAACAAUAAUAAGGUGAAACACUGAAAAAGGGGAGGUGGUUGAACAUCAUCUAAUUCCUAAGAACAAAUUAAUAAAAUAUAAAUGUGAAUGAAUUAAUAUACAGAAAAAGCACAAAAUUACAGCCUAAACCAUUAAUCUCAAUUUGUCUUUUCAUUGGAUUUGGAUUUUAUUUUAUUCAGUUGUUUGAAUUUGGAUGCUAACUACAUUUCUUAAUAUAAUAUAUGACAUAAAUAUAAAAAAUAAUAAUGAAGAGCGGUUUAAUAUGAAUUAUUAAUAUAUUUAAAAUUUAUAAAUAUGUGUCGAUUGAGUCUUAAUUCGAUUGAUAUCGGUAUUGUUGUCAGUAUAAGAGAAUGUGCGUUAAAGCAUAUUAUCUCCUUGUUUAAGAGUUGGGGAAAGGCUGCAUGAGUUCAAGUUCUUUUAUAAUCUAAAUUUUUUUCAAUAAAUAAUGCUGAAAUUAGUUAAAGCUGUUUUGUGGCAGUUGCAUUUAUAUAAAUCUAGAUAACUCAUUGUCCAGAUUCAUUCGAUAUGAGCGUAAAAGUUAAAACCAUAAAAAAAUUAAAAAUUAUAAAGAGGUUCAAAUAUGUAAAAUUAUAAAAAAUUAAUAAAAGCGCACAUUUAGAAUGAACCAGAGCCGUCCUCGAGUGUCUUCUUGUAGUGUUACAUGUUGCGCCGGGUGAGGGUAUAACAACACUAAUCAAUUAAAAUUAUGUAUAAUCGACAAAAAAUUUUUAUUGUGAUUAAUUUCUUUUAUUUUCUGAUUUUUAAAAUUGAUAGGGACUAAAUUGCUCAAAAUUAUUGAGAAGGACCAAUUUUCUUAAUAUCAAAAUUGAGAGGGAGUGGAGAGAUGUUUUUACCAAUCUACAUAAAGCCUUUCAGUAUAGUGAAAUUUAUGUUCACUUGUGAGUUUGGUCAUCAGGCGUUUGUAGUCCAACGGUUAGGAUAAUUGCCUUCCAAGCAAUAGACCCGGGUUCGACUCCCGGCAAACGCAUUUGAAUUUUUACCUUCUUUCCGUUUCCUCCGAUGGAAUGAAGGUGGUAACUGAUGAGUUUGCUAAAAGAGACAUUUGUGAUAUUCAACAGAGUUUGCUAAAUUCUGUAGUAUGACCCCCGACCUCUACACACCUAACCUUUUAACAAUUUCUCCUUUUUUUUAUUCAUCAAAGCUUCACCAUUUAAUUUCUCUAAGGAGAGAGAUGAAAAAAAAGUAGGGAGUGUGAAAAAGGUUGAAUGAUUUACGUCAUAAUUUUUAAAUGUAAACAUCAUAUGAAUAAAAUAAUAGUUGCUCCUACUCUUUAUAUUUCUUUAGUAUCUUAAUAAAUAUUCAAAUAUGUAAUAAGUCUUUAAUAAGUUAUGUGUUAUGGUUUUAGAGAAGAGCCAUGAAUGGAGUUGAUUUUGAGAUAUAAGUGUUUAAACCACUUUCAACUUAUAAGUUGCUUUUUGCGGAUAAAAUUAUAAAGUAAAAAGUUUAAAGCUAAAAAUAUAUCUUCCAUCAUAACACUGUAGAAUAAAGUUAUCUUUAGUAUAAAUUUUUUCUCUAUUUUCAAUACUUUUGUGGUAAGUUGGUAUUAAGAAUGAAAAUGACAUUAAAUCAGACAAAUACCAUAUAUGAAAUGAAGCAAUAAAGAAUAUCACAAAUUGUGUUUAAUAGUGAAAAGGGCUACCUAUGUUUUUAGAUUAAGAUACUUUCAAAGUUUAAGGGAUAGUAGAGAUUUCAUAAACCCUGGCACUCUUCUCUAGUGUGGCUCAAACAAAAAUAUGCUUCUAAGGUAUUUUCUCUAUCUUAAUUGCCUUCAUAAUCAUUGUUACCAUUCGAUUUGUCUAAUAUUGUUGAAUUGCAAGAUGACGGUUCGAUGACUGAUGAUUGAUAAAAAUAAAAACUCCCUUGUGAUAGCGUGAAAAGAAGGCAAAUAAAUCGUUUCGAUAGUGAUUCUUGCCAAAUAUGCAAAUGCCCAUGAAUAUGCAGCCAAAGCAAAAGCAGAAGUUUUCAUUUUUCUUCGAGUACGUCUAUCCUUUAUAUAACUAUACAACUAUGCUCUUUUAAGUAACUACUAAUCUCUGUGUACCUAGUGGCAAAUCUAGGGAGGUUGGCAAGGCACUUGCCCCAUAAAAUGUAAAAUUUUUAUUUAGUCUCUUAAUUUUUAAAAAUUUUAAAUUAGUAAAGAUAAAAUUACACUUUACCCCUCUAAAAUUAUAAAAAUUCAAUUUAAUCUCUUAAAAAUUGUAAAGAUACUAUAAAAAAUUAAAAUUUCAUUCAGCCCCCAAAAAGUUGUUCUAGCUUCGCCCCUGUCUGUACCAUCCAUUAGCUAAUCUUUCUUCUUCUUCUUCUUCUUUUUUUUUGAAAUUUCAGUUUUGAUUGAAAUCAUUAAAUUUAUUAAAUUAAAAUUUAUUAUUUCUAAAAUUUUAUGCGACAAAUAUAUUAUAAGAUGUAUAAUAUCAUGCCAAUUUCUUAUUUUCACAUAAUACUCACAAAAGACGUCAUUAUUUUAAUUUUAUGGAUUUAACAACUAUCGUUUGAGCUAUGAUUAAAAUUUCAAAAUUCGAAAAGUAUAGAAACUAAAUAUGAUCAAAUUGGAGAAAAGAAACUAAAUCUAUAACUUAUACAUAGUACAAGACUAAUAGCAAUAUUGAAGUUGAAUUACAAUCAUUUCUCAUCUCAUUUGUUACGAUGUCUUACCAUUUUGUUCUUGUAAAAGAAGGAUGAAAUAUGAUCCUCUAGAGACCCUACUGAAUACAUGAGAAAACUUGAAAGGAUUAGUAUUCAACACUUAAAUCCAAAUCUUGAAUAAUGUAACUAAUUAGAACAUGAAUUAACGUCUUUACCGUGUCAAUACCAAUCAAGUUAUAACAUAAGGUUUUUUUAUAAUAUUUUUUCUCUCCCUUUUACAUUAAUAUUAGAUAAAUCCUUGAAGUAAGUUUGAUAUUGAAUAAGAUAAGGUUUUUUAUUAUAUUAAUUAAUGUAAUCAAUAGAAUAAUCAUAUCGUUUAUCUUAUUAAAGUUUCUUGCCAUUGCAAUGUCAAUCUCGGUAACCACCUAGAUUAUAGCAUCUUUAAUCACAACUUUGUCGCCUUCAUCGUACGGUUCACGUUCAAGAACAUAAAAAUCAAGCACUUCACCAAUCAAUAGUAGCUGUUGAGAUGUAAACCGGUAGUUCACCCCUCAAUUUAUAUCCUCAAAUUAGAAUAUUAAAGUUGGCUAAAAUUUUUUAUGCAUUUUUUUUUAUGAAAACAACUUAUUGAAAUCGAAUCGAUGAUUAGAUUUAUUAUAUAUCGAUGGAUUCUCGAUGUAUCUGAUUGGUACAGCUUUCAAAACACUAAACUUGAGUAAUAGGUAAGGUUAUGAAAGAAAAAAAGAGAGAAAAGCAAAGAAAUUAAAGAAAUUAAAUUCACCGGGUACCGGUUACACUAGACUUUUAGGGUCCUGUUGUUUGCCUCUUUCAUUCUCUUUAAAAAUGAGUCCUAAAAUCAAAUACAUCAACGGGAGGCUAGGCGAACUUGCCACUGAGUGGAAAAGCUUUGAUCUAAGACAGUAUAGCGACAACCGACAUGUUUUUCGCAGAGAGACUAUCUCUUUUGUGCAUUCUUCUGAUGUUAUUGGUAGAGAUGAGGAUAAAGAGAACAUAAUUAGUAUGUUGAUGAAACAAAGUGAGGAUCAAAAUGUCCCUGUCAUUCCCAUUGUUGGACUUGGGGGUUUAGGAAAAACCACGCUCGCUCAAUUAGCAUUCAAUGAUGAUCGAGUUACUAGCCUUUUUCCUUUGAAGAUAUGGAUCUGUGUUUCUGAGGAAUUUGAUCUUUCUAGAUUGCUCAAGCUGAUUAUUCAGUCUGUAAAUAAAGGAGAAAGAUGUGAUGAUUCAACACUUGACGCCUUGCAAGCUCGUUUGAGAACCUUUUGAAUGAUAAGAAGUUCUUGCUCGUCCUGGAUGAUGUGUGGAAUGAAAAUAAAGCAAAAUGGGUUGAGUUAAGAAAUUUGUUGAGAUCGACGGAUGGAUUUUCUCCAAACAAAAUUAUUGUCACCACUCGGAGUUUGAACGUGGCCUCGAUAAUGAGUUCAAUUCCCCCUUAUAUAUUGAAAGGUCUCCCCCUUGAAGACUGUUUGACCUUAUUUACAAAAUGGGCUUUUAAUGAUGGUGAUGAGAGACAUUAUCCAAAUCUCAUUAGAAUCGGGGAGGAGAUUGUGAAAAAAUGCAAAGGGGUUCCUUUGGCAGUAAGAACAUUGGGAAGCCUACUAUUUCAGAAAACGGAUGAAUCUGAUUGGAUCUAUAUACGAGAGAGUGAAAUAUGGAGACUUGAGCAACAUGAAAACGAUAUUUUACCAGUGUUGAAGUUGAGUUACAAUCAUUUGCCAUCUCAUUUGCAACGAUGUCUUGCUUUUUUGUCCUUGUACAAAAAGGAUGAGAUCUAUUAUAGUGAUAGAGUUAUCUGUCUUUGGAUGGCAAAUGGACUCCUUGAGCAUCCAAAGCAAAAUCAAGAGUGGGAGGAUGUUGGCAAACGAUAUUUGAAUAAAUUACUAUCAAGGUGCCUCAUCCAAAAGGAGGAGGAUUUUCACUUGAAGUUUACCUUCAAAAUGCAUGAUCUGGUACAUGAUCUUGCAUUAGCUGUGUCUCGAAGAGAGUGUAAAAUAAUGAAUUCCAAAACAAAAACGGUUGAUGAAAAUGUUCGACAUCUGUUUUUAUGUGAUGAGAAGUUGGUUGAAGUUCCGCGUGUUUUGGAGAAAUUGGAAAAAGUUCAAACAGUAAUCGUCCAAGAUAGUUCACUAAGAUCAAAGAUUUUUGAUAAAUCUCUUAUAAAUCUUUGUGUCUCCAAUUUCAAGUAUCUACGAGCAUUAGAAUUAAGAGAUUCACUACUGACAGCUUUACCGAAUUCCAUUGGUAACUUGAAGCACUUACGAGAGCUUGACUUGGCCCGAUCUGAGGAUAUACGUGAACUUCCAAGGUCUUUUUAUAAGCUUUACUGCUUGCAAUCGUUAAAUUUGGGAGCUACUAGUUUGAAGCAGUUGCCCGACAGCGUGCAAAGGUUGAUUGAGCUUAGACAUCUUGUAAUAACCAUUGAAGCUAAGCAUUUGAAAGAAAUACGAGCAGGAUGUUGGACUUCUCUUCAAUACUUGGAAUGUAUAACUGUUUCGAAUUAGAAUGUUUACCUGAAGGAAUGCAGUAUCUGAAGUCACUUCGAACACUUCUCGUGAGUUACUGUCAUAGUCUUGUCUCAUUGCCCCGGAGCCUGAAAUUCCUAACCAAGUUAGAACACCUUGAAAUAGUGAGGUGCCUUCGAAUCAAUAUGAAAAUGGAACUAGAAGAGGAAGAAGACAAAGACCUUCAGUUGAGCCUUAAAACUUUCUCACUCUUCGGAUUACAUGAAUUAAGAGAUUUGCCACGAUUGCUUCUUCAAGGAUCUUCUUCCACUUUGCAGCAAUUACGAAUUAGGGGGUGUCCAAACUUGUCCUUUCUACCAGCAUGGCUACCGAAUCUCACUUCUCUUCAAAAACUUGAGAUUGCUAAUUGCAUAAAUUUGUCAGCUCUACCGGAGGGAAUAGACCGCCUCACCAACCUUAAGGAAUUGAGAAUUUACGGAUGUCCGGAGUUGAGCAAAAGAUACAGAGAAAAUGGGGGUAAAGAUUGGCACAAAAUUGCUCACAUCCAAAAGGUUGAUAUUUACUAUUGAAGAAUAAGGUAUGUGGUAAAAUUUUAAUUUCUCUAUCAGAUUUGAUUUCAUAUUAUCUCUCCCUUUUAUAUGUUUAAUGUUCGUUAAGUACUCAUUGUGUUUGGAAACAUUGCAUGUGUGAAAUGUGAAGAUGGAGAUGGAUGAAUGAAGCUAAGGGUGAGGCUUUUACUUUAUUUGCAUUCAGAUUUCACAGUUGAGAGUUGUAAUUCUAAUUACUGAGCUUUUUAUUUGGAUAUUUCAAAUGCCUUCAUGCUAUGGAUUGUAAUGUAUAAAAUUUUAUGCAUAUUUAUGUAUUCUCAUGGUUGGUUUGUCUUUAUAAUUUAGUAUAUAGAUAAAUUGGUUAUCCAAUUAUAAAAAAGUUACAAAAUGUAUGAGGUGCUAAAUUGGUACAUUUUGAUUUGGUAAUUAUAACUAUAGCAUUGGUAGGUUUUUGAGCAGGUUUAUAAUCAUCAAAAUGUAUCUUAGCUCACUUCCAAAUCUUGAUUUUGUAAUAAGCAUCAAAAGAUUUAUUUUUGAGCUACACAGUUUAGCACAUAGCUGUUCGUUACACAUGGGUUGAUGAUACGAUCAUGUGAGCUAUAGAAAUUAAGAUUCUUUUGAACCACACAGUUUUCGCUUGUCACACGGGCUAACGGCAUGCCUAUGUAGGUACUGUAGGUUAAGUUAUAUAAUUUGUACACGGUCACAAUUAAUUAUACAGUUUAAUCACACGGUUACAUAGAAUAAUUUAAUUAAAUCAAUAAUUAAUUGAUUAGUUCUAUAAUUUAAUCAAUUCAAGUAUCUGACUCAAUUUGUAAUGAGAGGAAUUUACAAGAUUACAAUCAUCAAUAGAGAAAUAUACAACUGAUAAAUACUCCUAAAAUUACUUAUACACCAUGACAUAUACAUUCAUAUAUCUGAUCGAUUCAAUAAUGGUUUUAUGAUUAAUCAUAUAUUUUUAAAUUACUUGUACAUCACAUUAAUUCUACAUAAAUUACUUGAUUUACAGUUUAUUUUAAUUUAAUAUAAUAUUCUGAAAAGUUUCAAAAAUAAUAAAUGAUAAAUAAUAUUAAACUUGGUAUGAAAAGUGAUAAUACAUCCAAUUUACAUGUUUAUCACGCUUAAUUUUGAUAAAUUCUUGAAUGAGAUGCUACUAAUUUUGGACCUAUUUUGAUUUUUGAUUAGGUGCAAAAGCAAACCCGAAAAGUUAAAAGAGUCAAAAAUGUAAGCGGUUGUAAAAGUUUUGAGCCAAAGAACGAAUUAAUGGAUAAUGAUCUAUUUUAAAAACUUUUAUUUUUGGAUUUAUUUGAAAAAUAAAUACUUUUAAUUUUACUUUAUUUUUAAAUAACUCUUCAAUAUUAGAUUGAUGAGUAUAAGUAGAAUUAGGGUUUUAGGCGAGGUACAAGGAGGGAGAAUGGAAUGGGGAAUUGAACUUCCUUCCCUGUUCUCAAUUCUGUUUUAACUCUUUUCUUUACUUGUGUAUUAUUGCACCAUUUACCUUUUUGUUUUAAACUGAUAAUUAAUAACCCUAUAGAUAGCGGUGAGAUCUGAACCCGCAUUUCAAAACUUUCGUUUCAAUGUUUAUUGUUUUUGCGGUUUAGGAGAUAGACUUCAUAGUCUCACAAAAUUAUAUUGGCAUCAAAUUAAAAAGAGUUUGUUGAUUCAGUAUUGAUAGGCAUACAGUUAGAAAUACUGAGUUGAUCGUUUAUCAUAUUCAAUCUACUGAAGAACACAUUGACAUAUCCAAUUAAGUAGUUAGUUAGAUUCUGUUAGGAGGAAAUAGCAGUCAGUUUUGAAACUGUUGAGGCCAUUGGUUCAAGUUGGGUCAUUCUAGUUCGCAAGGUUAUCAGAGUUAAAUCGUGGAUUCGUGUUUCGUAGUUCUUCAUUCAAUAAAGGUUAGUUGUUAGACGUUCUUGCAAUAAAUUUACACAUACAAAGGUUAAUAGUUCAAGGCAUCCUCGAUUAUUAUAAUUAACUUAUCGAUCAAAGGAGAAGACUUGCUGUUAAAAUAUUUAUCGUAAAUUUAGUCAUAUAUAAACCCUAAAUAAAAUACUUCUUAUACAUAUUAAAGCCAAACCAUUUAUUUAUCCAACUUAUAUUUAUUUUGGUAAAAGAAGACUUAUAUUUAUUUACUUUAUUCCUAAAACUUCAAAGUUUCAAAAAGAGUCUUAAAUUUUAUUUUUCAACCAUUCCCCCAUUUAACCUAAAAAAAUCCUUCUCCAUCCAAAACAAACGCUUAACUAUGCAAAUAUUCAAAUUAUAUUACCAUAUAUAAUUUAUGAAUUUAAUUUAAAUAAUAUUUUUAAUCCACAUAUCGGUAAACUAUUAAAAUAGUUACCUUUUUUUAUUUCAAGUUACAUUUUAGUCACUUACGUUAAUAUUUUUUUACGAAAUCAUCACUCUGCCAUUACAUUUAAAUAAUAUUUUUAAUCCAUAUACCUUUUAAUGGGUAAACUAUCAAAAUAGUUACCUUUUUUUACUUCAAGUUACAUUUUAGUCACUAUUGUUUGAAAUGUUACAUUUUAAUCACUUACGUUAAUAUUUUUUUACAAAAUCAUCACUCUGCCGUUAAUACUCGUUAUUUCCCAAACAGUAGUCCAAUAUGACAGUUAAAAUAAAUUUUAAAUGUCAAAGGUAGAGUGACCAUUUUCUUCAUAAAACGAUAACAAAAGUAACCAAAAAUAACAUUUUAAACAUAAAUAAUUAAAAUAUAACCUAAAUCAAAUAAAAAUGUUUAUUUUUAAUUUAUCAACACAGCGUAGUUAAGUUCCACCCAAGUCAACUAUAAAGCCUAGUCAACAAUCAAAAGCAGAUAUUUGGCUGAACCACAACCACAAAAUUUGGUGCAUUGCUGCUUCGAUAUGAACAGAAAAAAAUAAAAUCAUUAUUGAGUGCCACAAUCAUUAAUUUGCCUUCCUUCCCCUCAAUCAUUCAAGCUUUGCUCUAUAAAUUCAAUUAUGGCGGAGUUUCUGUUCAAUAUUGCAGAAAGGGUUGUCGAGAAAAUUGUCGGUCUCACUGUAGACGAAGUUCGCUUGGCGUUGAAUGUCAAAACCGAUCUGAAAAAGCUGGAGGACACCAUGAUCAGCAUUAAAGCUGUGCUCUUGGAUGCCGAGCGGCAACAGCACCAAAAUGAAAAGCUGCGCCUCUGUAUGCGGAAGCUCAGAGACAUCUUUUACGAUGCUGAGGACGUUAUUGACGAUUUCAAGUGUGAAGCUCUCCGGAAACAGGACGCCAUCAAUCAUCCCGACAUCAACAACUUAAAGGUGCGAGUUUUAGGUUCCUGUUGUUUGUCUCUUUCAUUCUCUUUAAAAAUGAGUCAUAAAAUCAAAGACAUCAAUGGGAGACUAGGCNNNNNNNNNNNNNNNNNNNNNNNNNNNNNNNNNNNNNNNNNNNNNNNNNNNNNNNNNNNNNNNNNNNNNNNNNNNNNNNNNNNNNNNNNNNNNNNNNNNNNNNNNNNNNNNNNNNNNNNNNNNNNNNNNNNNNNNNNNNNNNNNNNNNNNNNNNNNNNNNNNNNNNNNNNNNNNNNNNNNNNNNNNNNNNNNNNNNNNNNNNNNNNNNNNNNNNNNNNNNNNNNNNNNNNNNNNNNNNNNNNNNNNNNNNNNNNNNNNNNNNNNNNNNNNNNNNNNNNNNNNNNNNNNNNNNAAUUUGAUCUUUCUAGAUUGCUUAAGCUGAUUAUUCAUUCUGUAAAUAAAGGAGAAAGAUGCGAUGAUUCAACACUUGACGCCUUGCAAGCUCGUUUGAGAAGCCUUUUGAAUGAUAAGAAGUUCUUGCUCGUCCUGGAUGAUGUGUGGAAUGAAAAUAAAGCAAAAUGGGCUGAGUUAAGAAAUUUGUUGAGAUCGACGGAUGGAUUUUCUCCAAGCAAAAUUAUUGUCACCACUCGGAGUUUGAACGUGGCCUCGAUAAUGAGUUCAAUUCCCCCGUAUAUUUUGAAAGGUCUCCCUCUUGAAGACUGUUUGACCUUAUUUACAAAAUGGGCUUUUGAUGAUGGUGAUGAGAGACAUUAUCCAAAUCUCAUUAGAAUCGGCGAGGAGAUUGUGAAAAAAUGCAAAGGGGUUCCUUUGGCAGUAAGAACAUUGGGAAGCCUACUGUUUCAGAAAACGGAUGAAUCUNNNNNNNNNNNNNNNNNNNNNNNNNNNNNNNNNNNNNNNNNNNNNNNNNNNNNNNNNNNNNNNNNNNNNNNNNNNNNNNNNNNNNNNNNNNNNNNNNNNNAAAUAUGGAGACUUGAACAACAUGAACACGAUAUUUUACCAGUGUUGAAGUUGAGUUACAAUCAUUUGCCAUCUCAUUUGCAACGAUGUCUUGCUUUUUUGUCCUUGUACAAAAAGGAUGAGAUCUAUUAUAGUGAUAGAGUUAUCUGUCUUUGGAUGGCAAAUGGACUCCUUGAGCGUCCAAAGCAAAAUCAAGAGUGGGAGGAUGUUGGCAAACGAUAUUUGAAUGAAUUACUGUCAAGGUGCCUCAUCCAAAUGGAGCAGGAUUUUUGGUUGUAUUUUACAUUCAAAAUGCAUGAUCUGGUACAUGAUCUUGCAUUAGAUGUGUCUCAAAAAGAAUGUAAAACAGUGAAUUCGGAAACAGAAACGGUUGAUGAAAAUGUUCGACAUUUAUUAUUCUGUGAUGAGAAGUUGGUUGGAGUUCCACGUGUUUUGGAGGAAAUGAAAAAUGUUCGAACAGUAAUCAUCCAAGAUGCUUCAAAGGAAUCAAAGACUACUCAUGAAUCACUUAUAAAUCUGUGUCUCUCCAACUUCAAGUAUCUUCGAGCAUUAGAAUUAAGGAAGUCACCAUUGAUGGCUUUACCAAAUUCCAUUGGUACCUUGAAGCACUUACGAGACCUUGACUUGGUCGGAUGUAGGAGUCUACGUGAACUCCCGAGGUCUUUCGAUAAGCUUCGCAGCUUGCAAUCGUUAAAUUUGGGAGAUACUGGUUUGAAGCAGUUGCCUGACAGCGUGCAAAGGUUGAUUGAGCUUAGACAUCUAGAAAUAACCAUUAAAGCUACGCAUUUGAAAGAAAUACGAGCAGGAUGUUGGACUUCUCUUCAAUACUUGGAAUUGAGGUGGUGUAUGGAAUUAGAAUGUUUACCUGAAGGAAUGCAGUAUCUGAAGUCACUUCGGACACUUGUCCUGAAGCACUGUGAUAGUCUUGUCUCAUUGCCACGGAGCCUGAAAUUCCUAACCAAGUUAGAACACCUUUAUAUAAAAUUUUGCAGUAGUAUGAAUUUGAAAAUGGAACCAGAAGAGGAAGAAGACAAAGACCUUCAGUUGAGCCUUAAAACUCUCACACUCUUCGGAUCACAUGCCUUAAGAGAUUUGCCACGAUUGCUUCUUCAAGGAUCUUCUUCCACUUUGCAGCAAUUACGAAUUGCGUUUUGUCCAGACUUGUCCGCUCUACCAGCAUGGCUACUGAAUCUCACUUCUCUUCAAAAACUUGAGAUUAAGGGUUGCUUUAAUUUGUGGGAUCUACCGGAGGGAAUAGACCGCUUCACCAACCUUAGAGAAUUGACAAUUGACGGAUGUCCGGAGUUAUGCAAAAGAUACAGAGAAAAUGGGGGUGAAGAUUGGCACGAAAUUGCUCACAUCCAAAAGGUUGAUAUUUACGAAUGAAGAAUGAGGUAUGUGGUAAAAUUUUAAUUUCUCUAUCAGAUUUGAUUUCAUAGUAUCUUCCCCUUUUAUAUGUUUAAUGUUCGUGAAGUACUCAUUGUGUUUGGAAACAUUGCAUGUAUGAAAUGUGAAGAUGG
Molecule: long non-coding RNA, 22497 nt
Filed under: Gossypium raimondii (Peruvian cotton)
Lineage: Eukaryota; Viridiplantae; Streptophyta; Magnoliopsida; Malvales; Malvaceae
Description: long non-coding RNA (GRAI_LNC010998)
Rfam family: tRNA (bases 12054-12125)
Source: RNAcentral